CUACGGGUUGCUGCAGUAAGGAAUAUUGCGCAAUGGAGGCAACUCUGACGCAGCCAUGCCGCGUGCAGGAAGAAGGCCUUAUGGGUCGUAAACUGCUUUUAUUUAGGAAUAAACCCCCGAACGUGUUCGGGGCUGAAGGUACUAAACGAAUAAGCACCGGCUAACUCCGUGCCAGCAGCCGCGGUAAUACGGAGGGUGCAAGCGUUAUCCGGAUUUAUUGGGUUUAAAGGGUGCGCAGGCGGGCUAUUAAGUCAGUGGUGAAAUCCCGGGGCUCAACUUCGGAACUGCCAUUGAUACUGAUAGUCUUGAGUUUGGUUGAAGUGGGCGGAAUGUAGCAUGUAGCGGUGAAAUGCAUAGAUAUGCUACAGAACACCAAUCGCGAAGGCAACUCACUAAGCCAAAACUGACGCUCAUGCACGAAAGCGUGGGGAUCAAACAGGAUUAGAUACCCUGGUAGUC
Molecule: ribosomal RNA, 459 nt
Filed under: uncultured bacterium
Lineage: Bacteria
Description: partial 16S ribosomal RNA
Rfam family: Bacterial small subunit ribosomal RNA
Source: RNAcentral